This 143-nucleotide ribosomal RNA is filed under the name uncultured bacterium. RNAcentral's name for it is "partial 16S ribosomal RNA". It matches the Rfam family "Bacterial small subunit ribosomal RNA", at positions 338 to 478 of the family's 1533-position model. The record is from RNAcentral.
CCUACGGGAGGCAGCAGUGAGGAAUAUUGGUCAAUGGGCGGGAGCCUGAACCAGCCAAGUCGCGUGAAGGAAGAAGGAUCUAUGGUUCGUAAACUUCUUUUGCAGGGGAAUAAAGUGCAGGACGUGUCCUGUUUUGUAUGUAC